CUGCAGCCCGAGUGGUGAUCGAUUUUAUUGAGCCUAAAGCGUCCGUAGCCGGACUAGUAAACCCUUGGGUAAAUUGGGCAGCUUAACUGUCCAACUUCCGAGAGGACUGCUAGACUUGGGACCGGGAGAGGUCAGAGGUACUCCAGGGGUAGGGGCUAAAUCCGAUAUGGUUUCGUGCCAUUCGGUUAGCAUUCCUGUAAUCCUUGGGGGACCACCAGUGGCGAAGGCGUCUGACUAGAACGGAUCCGACGGUAAGGGACGAAACCCUGGGGCGCAAACCGGAUUAGAUACCCGAGUAGUCC
Molecule: ribosomal RNA, 302 nt
Filed under: uncultured archaeon
Lineage: Archaea
Description: partial 16S ribosomal RNA
Rfam family: Archaeal small subunit ribosomal RNA
Source: RNAcentral